AUCAAGAGGUCAUAAUUAUAGAUGGUUUGAGUUUGAAUGUGUUUUUCCAGGGAAAGGGACGCAGACUGUACCUGCAGAGACGAGGACACAUUAAACCUGAAGAGAGGUUUGCCUUUCCGGUGCUCUCCUCCUGGGAGUACGGCUGGAGGCUCGGCGACUACACCCUGGACUACAAAACCCCGUCCAGCGCCAAGUCCUCGGUGGUGAAGAACACUUUCUACGCCAAGAAUGGAGUCUUCAGUGGUUCAGCAGAAACCAACGAGAUGGUCUGAAGAGCAGCUGUCGGACUGCAGAGCCUGAUCUUAAAAGUAUUAUCUAUUUAUAAUCGAGUUGUCACGUUUAACCUAUUUCCAGUCUGUGUACGUCAUCAGUUCAUCUUUCGUCCUUCAGCUUCUGUUCAAGCUCUCCUCCCUCUUUGUAAACAUUUCUUUGCAUAAAACUCUUGUAAUUUGA
Molecule: long non-coding RNA, 453 nt
Organism: Salarias fasciatus (jewelled blenny)
Lineage: Eukaryota; Metazoa; Chordata; Actinopteri; Blenniiformes; Blenniidae
Exons: 2
Source: RefSeq, a predicted model, not a curated record